Molecule: ribosomal RNA, 433 nt
Filed under: uncultured bacterium
Lineage: Bacteria
Description: partial 16S ribosomal RNA
Rfam family: Bacterial small subunit ribosomal RNA
Source: RNAcentral
AACGAACGCUGGCGGCAUGCCUAACACAUGCAAGUCGAACGAACACUUCGGGGUUAGUGGCGCACGGGUGCGUAACGCGUGGGAAUCUGCCCUUUGCUUCGGAAUAACUCAGGGAAACUUGUGCUAAUACCGGAUGAUGUCUUCGGACCAAAGAUUUAUCGGCAAGGGAUGAGCCCGCGUAGGAUUAGGUAGUUGGUGGGGUAAAGGCCUACCAAGCCGACGAUCCUUAGCUGGUCUGAGAGGAUGAUCAGCCACACUGGGACUGAGACACGGCCCAGACUCCUACGGGAGGCAGCAGUGGGGAAUAUUGGACAAUGGGCGCAAGCCUGAUCCAGCAAUGCCGCGUGAGUGAUGAAGGCCCUCGGGUCGUAAAGCUCUUUUACCAGGGAUGAUAAUGACAGUACCUGGAGAAUAAGCUCCGGCUAACUCCGUG